UACGUAGGGGGCUAGCGUUGUCCGGAAUCAUUGGGCGUAAAGCGCGUGUAGGCGGCCCGGUAAGUCCGCUGUGAAAGUCGGGGGCUCAACCCUCGGAGGCCGGUGGAUACUGUCGGGCUGAAGUACGGAAGAGGCGAGUGGAAUUCCUGGUGUAGCGGUGAAAUGCGCAGAUAUCAGGAGGAACACCUAUUGCGAAGGCAGCUCGCUGGGACGUUACUGACGCUGAGACGCGAAAGCGUGGGGAGCAAACAGG
RNAcentral lists this ribosomal RNA (253 nucleotides) under uncultured bacterium. Its description in RNAcentral is "partial 16S ribosomal RNA". It matches the Rfam family "Bacterial small subunit ribosomal RNA", at positions 524 to 776 of the family's 1533-position model. The record is from RNAcentral.